GUGCCAGCCGCCGCGGUAAUACGGAGGGGGUUAGCGUUGUUCGGAAUUACUGGGCGUAAAGCGCGCGUAGGCAGACAUUUAAGUCAGGGGUGAAAUCCCGGGGCUCAACCCCGGAACUGCCCUUGAUACUGGGUGUCUUGAGUUCGAGAGAGGUGAGUGGAAUUCCGAGUGUAGAGGUGAAAUUCGUAGAUAUUCGGAGGAACACCAGUGGCGAAGGCGGCUCACUGGCUCGAUACUGACGCUCAGGCACGAAAGCGCGGGGAGCAAACAGGAUUAGAUACCCGAGUAGUCC
RNAcentral lists this ribosomal RNA (292 nucleotides) under uncultured bacterium. Its description in RNAcentral is "partial 16S ribosomal RNA". It matches the Rfam family "Bacterial small subunit ribosomal RNA", at positions 505 to 796 of the family's 1533-position model. The record is from RNAcentral.